GUGGCUUUCAUAUGAAAAAAAAAUUACUACACAGUUGUGUAUUCUUAUACAAUCAUAAAUGUACAUGUACAGAAAUGUAAACCUACUUGAAAUUGAAACAGAUUUUCUGAGUAAGAGACAACAUUAUAACACAGUUAAGCAGGCAGUGGUUUGUCAGUCUUUAUUAAACUUUAAUGUUUACCAAUUUUCAGAUGCAUUGUGUUUUGUAUAUAGGACCAAGUAAAAAUAUCCGUAUAGUGUAUGAGGUUCAUGAGUAACUGUAUUUACCAAUUUCGUUCACAAAUAAUUUUUAGGAGGUAUUAGUUGUGAAAUGUGUCUACUGAAUCAGCAGUGGGGUAUUUGUUACAAUUUGGGUAACGUCAGUUGAGGCUGUUUUUAACGUCAUUUGUACCACAUUUGAUAUUUACGACAAACAUGUUUCUAAAGCUGAAUAAUUGAUAGACAAUUUAAGACAUUAACAUUGCAUGAGGUAUUUAGAUAAUUUAAACUCGUUAACUAAGCGACUCUUUCCACAUUCGCCGCUCCACUAGUACACUUACAUGUUCAAAUCGCCAUUCCUUUAUACCAACAUGCUGUGGAAUUUUGGAUCUUAAUUAGAUCAUUGAUUGUUUUCUUGUUUGGAACAAGAAAGGUAACUCUGACGUGAAAUAAAAUUUUGGCAUUUGGUAAUCGCUAUUUAAUACUAUUCUCUACCGUAUAUUUAAAAAAUUGAGACCGACGUGAACAAUUAAGCAAAUUGACAAGUGAUUAUUUCAAAUAGAU
This 762-nucleotide long non-coding RNA is filed under the name Mytilus galloprovincialis (Mediterranean mussel). Lineage: Eukaryota; Metazoa; Mollusca; Bivalvia; Mytilida; Mytilidae. The record is from RNAcentral.